Molecule: ribosomal RNA, 447 nt
Filed under: uncultured bacterium
Lineage: Bacteria
Description: bacterial SSU rRNA
Rfam family: Bacterial small subunit ribosomal RNA
Source: RNAcentral
CCCAGACUCCUACGGGAGGCAGCAGUGGGGGAUAUUGCACAAUGGGGGAAACCCUGAUGCAGCGACGCCGCGUGAGUGAAGAAGUAUUUCGGUACGUAAAGCUCUAUCAGCAGGGAAGAAAAAAGACGGUACCUGACUAAGAAGCCCCGGCUAACUACGUGCCAGCAGCCGCGGUAAUACGUAGGGGGCGAGCGUUAUCCGGAUUUACUGGGUGUAAAGGGAGCGUAGACGGCGUCGCAAGUCUGAAGUGAAAGCCCGUGGCUCAACCGCGGAACCGCUUUGGAAACUGCGAGGCUGGAGUGCUGGAGAGGUAAGCGGAAUUCCUAGUGUAGCGGUGAAAUGCGUAGAUAUUAGGAGGAACACCAGUGGCGAAGGCGGCUUACUGGACUGUAAAUGACGCUGAGGCUCGAAAGCGUGGGGAGCAAACAGGAUUAGAUACCCUGGUAA